Enhydra lutris kenyoni (northern sea otter) is the source of this 4473-nucleotide long non-coding RNA. RefSeq lists it as uncharacterized. The transcript has 3 exons. Lineage: Eukaryota; Metazoa; Chordata; Mammalia; Carnivora; Mustelidae. The record is from RefSeq and is a predicted model, not a curated record.
GAGAGGGAGAGAGAGCGCGAGGGAGAGCGACACUGCCAGUCAGGUUAAUCAUCCCUACUUUAAUUAGCUGUUCGGCUUAGACAUAAAACAAUUGAAUUUGAAUGAUCUGUCAGCAGGCUCGGCUGAACCAAAGGGGAAAAGCGAAUAUUACAAAAAGACUGUUGGUGUGUUCUGAUAAGCAAUACUGCUCGUACUGACAAAUCCUCAAAGGGGGAACUAUUAAAACUUACAACUAAACAAAAAGUGCAAAUACAAAUGGCACUAGAUAGAGGUCUUUAAAAAAAUGGAGUUUCUCCCUGAGUUUUAUGAACGGUAGGUAUUUAUGCGCGGGUGCCAACAUAUUAGGGUCUGCGUGUAAUGUGUGAAAGUUUAUUAACGAUGGUCUAGGAGUGUAGCAGACAGAUGCUGCAGAGAACAAGACAGGUACAGUCAGAUGCCGAGUCUAGAUCUUGGAGGGAGAUGGAUGCUGGAAGAAGAGGCACCGUGGCAAGACAUCAGCACAGACAAAGUCAGUGGGCAGACAGGCAGGCAGAUUUUAGGCACGGCACGAUCUCGUCUAAAAAGGCAAAAGUUCUGAUGUAAUAAUAGGUGCAAAACAAUCCAUCCAUCCUCUCUCCCGGGAGCGCUCGAAGGUACAGUUAAAAUGGAUUAAUCUUUGUGACAAACAGAGCUGGCAAGGCAGACUAUGGCAGACACCGAAGGCGCUUCGCAGACCCAGAGAAUACCAGAGCCGGAAACAGCCACGGAGAUCAAUCUCCCCGACGCCCUCAUUUAGCAGACGAGGAAACUGAGGCCCAGAGUCUCAGGCUAAUGAAUCUCAAAGGCAGUAGCAAGGACACUGGAACCCAGGGCCCCAGCGGCCCACCAGGCUGGUGCUCUUUCUGUCAUCCCAGCUAACCUCCAGCUUCCUUCACAGACCCUGACCCAACAGGGGCGAAAGAGGUGCUCAUGAAGAUAGCAGAGCCGUCAGAUGUUCCUGCACAGAUUAAGUCUCUUGUCCUGAAACAAGAAUCGUGGUGUAUAUAAAAGUGAACACUCUCUCUCAGUCAUACUUCUGUUGCUACUUAGGGUGGAAGAAGAAAACUGAAAGAAAUGUCAGGCACCUGGGAGCCCACUGGAGGGCAGACCUGUUCUGGGCCGGUGCUGUGGUGUGCCUGUUUGAGUCCCCCCUAGAUUCACACGAUGGAAUCCUGAUCCACAGUGUGAUGGUGUUAGGAAGUGAGGCCUCUGGCAGGGGCUCAUAACGGCAGAGCUCUCCUGAAUGGGAUUCGUGUUCUUAUCCAAGAGGCCACACAGCUCCUUCUGCCACGCGAGGAUAAAAACAGAAGUCUUCCGCCCGGAAGAGGACCAUCACCAGCCCUUGUGCCACCCUGAUCUCAGACCUGCACCCUCCACGACUUGUGGGAGAUGAAUUUCUGUUUUUUUCCUAAGCCACCCAAUCUGUGGUAUUUUGUUACAGCAGCCUGGACGGCUAAGACAGUCUGCAUGGGUACCGCAGAAAUGUUUCUCUAUACAAUCUGACAGGUACAAUCCGAAGCAGCACAAGGACCACACGCUUCAACAAGCAGAGCCGGAGCAUUAACACCAGCUCUGGAGCAACCGCAGCCUUGAAUUCUGGGUACUUGGAUGAUCCCCGGAUGUGACCCGGGAAGAGCACGCUGCGCCUGCGCGUCGCCGGAUCCUCCUCGGUUUUCUUCCCCUUCCGUCUUCCCCGUACACGCAGUUUUCACGUUUCAAAACGUCAUAGGCGGCUUCUGAAUAGAGUGCUUUUCAAAUACACUUUAUAUUUUACUCCUAACUAAAGGGGAGAGGGGGAGUAUUUUAUUAUAGAUGAACUGAAUUUGACAGUAAAUCUGUUAUUUUGGAUUAUUUGUGAGUUGUGGCUAAAGAAGCACAUUCGGUCUAAAUAUUGAGAAUACUUGAGAAUGUAAGAGCUGAGAAGCCGAGCCCAGUGGUUACCAACCCAGGCUGCAUGUUACAAUCAUUGAGGAAGGUUUAAAAAAUAAGAUCCGGAGCCUUGGCUCCCUCCCCUCUCUUCUCCAAAUGAUUCUGAUAUAAUGUCAGUUUUGGUGGCCUAGCGCCAGUUAUGGGGACUGAGGAUCUUCAUUUAACUGACGAGGGAUCUGAGACCCAGAGAGGAACAGUGACUUCUCUAAGGUCACACAGGAGUAUAUUAUGUAUGAAGAUAAAAGACUGCGGCUAAUGUGAAAUUGACCCCAUUGCUAUACUGCAAAUUACUUCAUUACUUUAGAAUAUGUUUUGUAUGUCUGGAUGUAUAAUGCAAUAAUUCCUUCAUCUGCAAGCCACUUAUGUGGCAUUCCAAAUCUGGUUAAGAAGAGGAAGGAUGUGAAAAGACCCGAAAACAGCCCAAAGUGGCAUAAGGGAAAUCACACAGAAAUCCCUCAAGUUUCUCUGAUGGGCUCUGCCUCUUGCCUCUUUGUCCUCUUUGUCUUUGAGACAGAGAUAGCUGAACAUCUCCAUCUCCAAGCCUGACUUUCUGCUGCCCUGUAGUCUCGUGUCUCCAAAAGCCCAGAGGACCUCUCAUGGAUCCCCAGUCAGUAUCUUCACUCAGUGUGUUCAAAAUUAAACUCGCAUCUUCCUCUCCCAUACCUGCUCCUGCUCCACAGACCUCUGCUUCUGUUUAUGGUCCCAUGCUGGCUCCAAAUCAUAGCCAUGUCUUCAGUGCUUUCCUCCCUCAUGUCCCCCAAACAUGAUGGAUUAAUCCUCUUUCUGCCAUGUCUCAUAAAUCAGCUCACCAGCUCUGUUUGCUCCCUCUGCCUCUGCCCUAGUUAGGGCCCUCACUGCCUCUUCCUGGACUGCUGAUUGUCUCCUACCUGACCUGUGUCCUCUGGUCACUCCCCACUCAGAUCUACUUUAUUCACUCUUGCCAGAUUAAUCUUUCUGAGGCACAGCUCUGAUUAUGUUACUCUAAAAACUUUCAAUAGCUCCCCAUUGUCUACUGAAUAAAGUCCAAAUUCCUUGGCCAGCUAAUCAAGCCCUCUCACUUACUGGUCUCAUCUGCUUUCACCACUUUAUUUCCCACUACUCGCCUCUGCACACGACAUGGUCUAGUUAAACUCAACUACUUCUCUGCAGAAUCUUUCCCCUCUGAUUCUUCCAGGCAUUGCUCAUGGUUUCAGAAAUGUUCUUUUUUCCCCAUCUUUGUGUGCUCAAGUCCUCCUUGCCUUUCGAGACCCAAAUCCAGUAUCAGCUCUUCUGGUAAAUCCCCCAGGUAGCCCUUCUCUGAAUUCCAGGAACACUUUAUCUGUACUACUUUCAUAGAGCCUGGCACCUUCUACUAUGGAUGCUAGCAAAGUAGGCCCAUGUCUCAGCUCUGCUGCUAGAUUAAAGCUUGCUGAGGGAAGGAUUGGUGUCUUGUUUAUCUGUGUGUCCUUUCCAUUGCUGAAAACAUAGUGCACUGCUCAGAAAUAUUUGUCCAGUGAAGGAGUGAAUGCAAGGGCUUUAUAUGCAAUCUAAACAAGGUUGGUUGGUUGUUUCCCUGGUCCAAACCAGAUUACAAGUAGUGCAUUCGAGAAGGAAUGAAGAUCUUAGAGGCUUGCACAACAAGAACUAACUUGAUAGCUAAAGAAGAUAAAUAAAAACUAUAAAAAGAAGAGAUGAGGACUAAAAAUAUUAUAGUAGUCUGAGGGUAAAUAAACACAGAAGAAAAGAAUCUUAUAGACUAACGACCAGUGGUUAAUGCCAUGUGGAACUGCUUUGAAACCACAAAAUAAUAUUCAAAUAUACAGUGUUAUUUUUAUACUUAGCACCAGUAGACACACAAAGCAGUUGUUUAGACACACAAAACAGUCGAUGACCCUAAAGAUAGAUAAAUAAAAUAAAUAAAUUAAAAAAAUGAUGACCCUGAGUCGUUAAAAAAUGUUUGAGUUAUGGUAAGCAUAUGAUCAGAAAGCUGGAUAUGCACAUAAAUUUAAGACACUAUAUAUCAAAACUUAAUAAAGUAAAAAACAUCUUUUGGUAAUUAAGAGGAGAUAAACUUCUACUUAUCGGUUAUACGGAAUAUUCUGUUACAUCAGCUGAUUUCCAAAGUGAAGUCAGAUAAAUAUCUCUCUCUUUACACACAAGUACACCUAUAUUCUCCUAAAUAUUGGAGAAAUAAUUUUGGUAUCAUUAAAAAUGAAAUAGGCCCCGAUAUAUAAUUUCAGAAAUGUCAGAAAGUAGUAAGACAAAACAAUUAAAAAAAAGUCAGAUUUCUAAGAUCCACAAUCUAUUAUUUAAAAUAAGUGGUUUUGAUUAUACAAUAUGUAAAUUAUGUACAUCACCUUUUAAUUAAAAUGUAACGUAAAAAGUCCAGGUUAUUAUAAGCUUUUUAUCAACAUUUUAAUGGCUCAAAAAAUUCUACCUAGUGGAUAUGUCAUAAUACAUUUAACCAGCCCCCUAGAAUUGAAUAUAUAGUUUAUUUCCAGUUUUAUAAUAUAGAUAUAUCUAGCAAGAUUUGCUGUGUUCUGAUAA